RNAcentral lists this ribosomal RNA (240 nucleotides) under uncultured bacterium. Its description in RNAcentral is "partial 16S ribosomal RNA". It matches the Rfam family "Bacterial small subunit ribosomal RNA", at positions 91 to 334 of the family's 1533-position model. The record is from RNAcentral.
CGGAGUGGCGAACGGGUGAGUAAUACAUCGGAACAUGUCCUGUAGUGGGGGAUAGCCCGGCGAAAGCCGGAUUAAUACCGCAUACGACCUACGGAUGAAAGCGGGGGACCUUCGGGCCUCGCGCUAUAGGGUUGGCCGAUGGCUGAUUAGCUAGUUGGUGGGGUAAAGGCCUACCAAGGCGACGAUCAGUAGCUGGUCUGAGAGGACGACCAGCCACACUGGGACUGAGACACGGCCCAG